This 253-nucleotide ribosomal RNA is filed under the name uncultured bacterium. Its description in RNAcentral is "partial 16S ribosomal RNA". It matches the Rfam family "Bacterial small subunit ribosomal RNA", at positions 524 to 776 of the family's 1533-position model. The record is from RNAcentral.
UACGUAGGGACCAAGCGUUGUUCGGAUUCACUGGGCGUAAAGGGUGCGUAGGCGGUCGGGUAAGUCUGAUGUGAAAUCUCACAGCUUAACUGUGAAACUGCAUUGGAUACUAUCCGGCUCGAGGAAUGGAGGGGAGACUGGAAUACUUGGUGUAGCAGUGAAAUGCGUAGAUAUCAAGUGGAACACCAGUGGCGAAGGCGAGUCUCUGGACAUUUCCUGACGCUGAGGCACGAAAGCCAGGGGAGCAAACGGG